RNAcentral lists this long non-coding RNA (38419 nucleotides) under Panax ginseng (ginseng). RNAcentral describes it as "long non-coding RNA (PGIN_LNC008246)". Lineage: Eukaryota; Viridiplantae; Streptophyta; Magnoliopsida; Apiales; Araliaceae. The record is from RNAcentral.
UUCCAUUCUUUAUUAUUCUGUUGGAAUAACCUGUAUACGCGGGCUACCGUAUACUUGGUGAAAUUCUUCUGUUAUUCCAUUCUUUAUUAUUCUGUUGGAAUAUCAUGUCUGUGCGUUUUACGCCGGGCCUGGUCCCGUCUUUAUUAUUCUGUUGGAAUAUCUUGUCUAUGCAUUUUACGCCGGACCUGGUUCCGUCUUUAUUAUUCUGUUGGAACAUCCUGUCGGUGCGAAUUUCGCCUGACCUGGUUCCGUUAUUUAUUAUUUUGUUGGAAUAACCUGUCCAUGCGAAGUACCGCAUGCAUGGUGAUUUCUUUUGUUAUUCCAUUCUUUAUUAUACUCAGUUGGUUAAACUUUUGGCUUCUAUACUCUAUGAAAUUAGUAGAAUAUCUUUGAUAUUUACGCUUCAUCCAGUAUCUUUUCAUGAAAAUAUUUUUCUAAGCAUUCUUAAAUUUUACUCUACAAAGAAGUAUCAUGUUGAAAAUUUGGACGUUAUUAGUUCCUGGACAAAUUAAUUCGUGAACUUGUUUUAUUGAAUUCCUAUAUCAUUGUCAUCAUCCUCAUGUUUAUAUUUUUUGAAAUUCAUCUGUGGCCUGUAGUACAUAGAUGGACUUGGUAUGAUUAUAACCAGAGAUUAUUCGGCGUAAUCAUGAUUGGGAUGUUACAAAUGAUGUGGUAACAGUCCUCAUUGGCCCGUAGUGGAUUGAUAGACAGAUGUUGGCAUGAUCAUGACCAUUGAUGAAUACACGAAUGUCCUUGGCCCGUAGUGCAUGGAAUUUGUGGUCGUGAUACUAAAGAAUAUCCUUGGCCGUAGUGCAGGGGUGAUUCGAUGAUGUGGAUUAUUUAUUAAGCUGAGUCUCAACGAUAAAAGUGAUGAAAAACCUUUUAAAUCAUAAAAGAUAGUAGAUUUUAUUCUCUACUUGACUCUUUUACUGGAUUGCUUGUCCCGCUGUAGUUAAACUUGAUGUCUAUUGUAUUUUAUCAGUUUAACAUUAUUGUAGACUAAUGAUAAUUUAUUAUGCAUUAUCUUAGUCAUAAUAUUUCUUACUGGGCUAGUUGAGCUCACCCUUUCUUUCACUGUUCUCUUCAGGAAAUGAGAAUAUAGCUGGGACGAGUCGGGGAACGGAGUGAUGAACCAGAUGAUAGUAUUAGUAGUCUUCACUAUUCUGUUAAAUAGUGUGACAAUAAAUGUAAUAAGGACUUAUUCUGAGAGUGGAUAUUAUCUUAAAGACAAUAUUUGUAUUAAAACUCGCAGCUCUCUUGUUGUAUAUUAAAGAUUGUAUUUGUAUUCUGUACCAUGUAUUUGGCGACUUAGAAUGGUGAUGUAUACCUAUUUUGGGGGAGUCACAGUUGGUAUCAAAGCUUAGGGAUAUGAUCCCUGGCUAAGAUGUGAGACAAGAACUAGAAGGGGAGAAACAGGGAAUUCCUUCGCUAGUAUGACCUACCUAAGUUUAUUUGGUAUUAAAUUGGUCGGUCAGAGUAUAGAGAUAAUAUGUGAUAUGUUAAUUAACCCUUGUUUUGUGGCAGUAUUUAAAAAUGGCAUCCGAGAAUGUUGAGAACAUCAAUGGAGCACAGGAGACCGUUGAGUCUACACAGAUCAAUAAGCAGGACAAUGUGUAUCAGGAAGGCGACAAUCCUCAUGUAAACAAUAACACUGACCAAAUGAUGAACGAUGGAAUGUUCCGAGGCUUCAUGUAAUUCAUGCAACAUCAGGCGAGAGCGGCUCCUGUCCAAAAUGCAGGUGGAAACACUGGAAACUCUCGGACGGUCACCGCCAAACAGUUUAAGGAGCUGGGACCACCGGAGUUUUUUAGAGAGCCAAAACCUCUUAAGGCGGAGACGUGGAUAAAACAGAUCAACAAGAUAUUUGAUGUCUUGGGUUGCUCCGAGGAGUAAAAGGUUCCCUUCGCCACCUUCAUGUUGUGGGCAGAGGCAGAUUACUGGUGGGAAUCUAUAAAGUGUACCGAACCUGCCGCACUGAAGAUGUCUUGGGAGAAGUUUCAAGAACUGUUCAACGACAAGUACUUUCCCGAAAGUAUUCGUCAUAUAAAAGAGGUAGAGUUCAUUAAACUGGAGAAAAACAACAUGACCGUGUCGCAGUACGAAGCCAAGUUUGUCGAGCUAUCCCGGUUUGUGUCCCAUUUGGUUGAUCAUGAGGAGAGAAUGACGCGAAUGUUUCUAAGAUAUUUGAAACCCGAGAUACGUCAACAUCUUAUCUCUCAUAAACUGUGUUUGUAUUAAGAUGUUGUUAAUAGGGCUCAGUUAUUGGAACGCGAUAACGAGUCAACCCAACCAAAAGAGAGUAGCCGACAAAAUGAUAAUACCAGUGAGAGCAGUCAUCAAAGCGGUGACAACAAGCGUGGAGGGAAUCAGCAUGCCAGAAAUGGUAACCACUUCGAUGGUAAUCAGGGCCAAAGCAAUAAGAAUGGACAUUUCAAGAAGAGGAGAUUCAACAAUGAUGGAAAGACGUCAGCACCAGCACCUGUUGUGAAGGAAGGAGAAUGACCACCUAUUAUAUGCUUCAAAUGUGGAGGGGAGGGACACAUCAGUCCAAACUGCGCGAUGUCGUCCAAAGCAUGUUAUAAUUAUGGAAGAGAAGGUCACCUAACACGAUUUUUUCAUUCACCAAAUACAAGUUUAGCUAGGAUAGAGGCACCAAAGGCCGUCCCAGAAAAGUCAAAGCAGGUAGUGCAAGGGAGAGCAUUUGUUGUGACCUCCCAGAAAGCAAGGAACCCAAACGAGGUCAUCACGGGUAAGCUUAUCAUAAACACUAGCGAAGUCUAUACCUUAUUUGAUACCGGUUCUACCCAUUCUUUUAUUUCUCCUACUUGCGCUCAACGUUUAAAUUUGACUCCAGAGAAAUUAGACUUUGACUUAUCUAUUGAAAAUCUAUUGGGAGAAACCUUCAUUACAUCCAAUGUUUAUAAGUCUCGUUUAGUUCAAAUCGGUACCCUCACAUUACCUGUCGAUCUUAUUUCAUUGAAAAUACUUGCAUUUGACGUAAUUUUAGGGAUUGAUUGGUUAACUACUCAUCAUGCAAAAAUUGAUUGUUUUCGUAAGGUUAUUAGCUUUCAUAUUCCUAACCAACCUAUUAUGCGUAUUCAAGCAACCAAACCAUUAAAAUCAAUCACUAUUAUCUCAAGCCAUAAAGCUAUUCAUUUAUCAAAAAACGGAUGUCAAGCUUUCUUAGCUCAUGUCACGGAUCUAAAUAAAAAUACGUCAGUUUUGAAUGAUAUUUCUAUUGUUAAUGAAUUUCCUGACGUAUUCCCUGAAGAACUUCAUAGUCUACCCCCAGAGCAUGAAAUUGAAUUUUGUAUCGACCUUGAACCCGGUACAAAACCUAUUUCUAAAGCCCCAUAUCGAAUAGCUCUUAUUGAACUUCAGGAGUUAAAGACCCAACUGCAGGAAUUGUUAGACAUCGGUUUCAUUCAUCCUAGUAUGUCUCCUUGGGGUGCUCCUAUUCUAUUCGUGAAAAAGAAAGAUAGGAGUAUGCGACUUUGUAUUGAUUAUCGGGAGUUGAACCAUGUCACCAUUAAAAAUAAGUACCCAUUUCCACGUAUUGAUGACCUGUUUGACCAGUUACAAGGAGCCAAAUUCUUUUCAAAGAUUGAUCUUCGUUUCGGUUAUCACCAAUUGAAGAUUAAAACCGAUGACAUUCCAAAGACGACUUUCAGAACUCGGUACGGGCAUUAUGAAUGCCUAGUCAUAUCUUUUGGAUUGACUAGUGCUCCUGCUGCCUUCAUGGAUAUGAUGAACCGAGUAUUCAAGGAAUAUUUGGAUCACUUUGUGGUCGUCUUUAUUGAAGACAUCCAUAUUUAUUCCAAAAGCCGUGAAGAUCAUGAGCAACACUUGAGGCUGAUACUCCAAAAGCUUCGUGAAUAUAAUCUUUAUACCAAGUUGAAGAAAUGUGAGUUCUGGCUUGAGGAAGUAGCAUUCCUUGGGCACGUAGUAUCAAGUCAUGGAAUAUCUGUUGACCCAGCAAAGAUUGAAGCUAUUCAAAGCUGGGAGCAACCCAAAUCAGUGAUCGAAGUACGUAGCUUUCUCAGCUUAGCUGGUUAUUAUCGGAGAUUCAUGGAAGAAUUUUCUGGAAUCGCUACUCCAUUAACUCAGCUGACUCAGAAAGAUACAAAAUUCGGUUGGAGUGAGGAAUGUGAGAAGAGUUUUCAAGAACUCAAGAGGAGACUCAUUUUAGCACCUGUUCAGAUAAUACCAUCUAGAUCAGAGGGAUUUGUUAUCUACAGUGAUGCUUCGAGCAAAGGGUUAGGUUGUGUUCUCAUGCAACAUAGGAAAGUCAUAGCCUAUGCCUCAUGACAACUCAAAAAAUAUGAGAGGAAUUAUCCUACUCAUGAUCUAGAGUUGGCAGCAGUCGUUUUUGCACUAAAGAUUUGGAGGCAUUAUUUGUAUGGGGAGAAAGUGGAGAUCUUUACGGAUCAUAAAAGCCUCAAAUAUUUCUUCACUCAAAAGGAACUCAACAUGCGACAGCGACGUUGGCUUGAACUGUUGAAAGAUUAUGAUCAUACCAUCCAAUAGCAUCCUGGAAAAGUGAAAGUGGUAGCUGACACAUUAAGUAGAAGAUCAUAUGCGGGUAUAAGUGCGAUAUUGUCAACGCAAAGGCCCAUUUUAUAUGACUUGCAAAGGAUGGAGAUAGAGAUAAAGACUCCAGGGACCCACGUUAUGAUGGCGAAUAUACGAGUAGAAUCGACUUUAAUCGAUAAGGUUAAAGCUGCUCAAGCUACAGACCUGGAGCUGAUGCGUAUGAGAAAGAAAGUGCAAGAAGGUCCUAUGCCGGAAGCAAGAAUCGAUGAAGAAGGAAUACUUCGAGUCAACUCUAGACUUUGUGUUCCUAACGAUCCUGAGUUAAAGUAUAAAAUCAUGAUAGAGGCGCACAACACACCGUUUGCAAUCCAUCCUGGUAGUACCAAAAUGUAUCGUGAUCUUCGACAUACAUUUUGGUGGAGCAAUAUGAAGAGAGAGAUAGCGGGGUUUAUCUCAAGGUGUCUAACUUGUCAACGAGUCCAGGAAGAGCAUCAAGUGCCAAAAGGUCCAUUGCAACCACUUGAAAUUUCAGAAUGGAAGUGGGAGCACAUAACCAUGGAUUUCGUUACUGUGACGCCCCCAAAAUAGGUAUACAUCACCCAUUUUAGGUCGUCAAUAACAUGGUAUAGAAACAACUACAACUUUAUUAAUACAUCAAAAAAUGUGAGUUUAAAUACAAAUAUUGUCUUCUAGCCAAUAUCUAUACCCAAAUAAAUCCUCAUCACAAUUAUUGAUACAUUAUUUUACAAAAAUGGUGAGGACUACUAAACAACUUCUAGAAUCAUCAUUCCAUACCCCGACUAGUACUCGCUACAUUCUCGCCUCCUGAGAAGAAAAAUGGAACAAAAAAGAAAAGGGUGAGCUCAACUAGCCCAGUAAAGAAUAUUAUGACUAAGAUAAUAUAGAACAAAUUAUCGUUAGUNNNNNNNNNNNNNNNNNNNNNNNNNNNNNNNNNNNNNNNNNNNNNNNNNNNNNNNNNNNNNNNNNNNNNNNNNNNNNNNNNNNNNNNNNNNNNNNNNNNNNNNNNNNNNNNNNNNNNNNNNNNNNNNNNNNNNNNNNNNNNNNNNNNNNNNNNNNNNNNNNNNNNNNNNNNNNNNNNNNNNNNNNNNNNNNNNNNNNNNNNNNNNNNNNNNNNNNNNNNNNNNNNNNNNNNNNNNNNNNNNNNNNNNNNNNNNNNNNNNNNNNNNNNNNNNNNNNNNNNNNNNNNNNNNNNNNNNNNNNNNNNNNNNNNNNNNNNNNNNNNNNNNNNNNNNNNNNNNNNNNNNNNNNNNNNNNNNNNNNNNNNNNNNNNNNNNNNNNNNNNNNNNNNNNNNNNNNNNNNNNNNNNNNNNNNNNNNNNNNNNNNNNNNNNNNNNNNNNNNNNNNNNNAUAUCAUCAUUUAGGACUGAGGAUGAUGAAAAAUAUUUUAAAGAAAACGAAUCCAGUGAAACAAAAGAAUAAAUAUUAAGGAUUCGUAUUUCGGUUUAUUCAUGUCCAAGAAUACCUCAAUAAUAAUCUUAAUGGAGUAAAAUUCAAGAAUGAUCAAAACAUGGAUACAAUCAAAGCUAGUAUCCAUAAUAGAUAUUUUGGACGAAAAUGAAAAAAUUUCAUUUUUCGAUGAAUAGUACCGUAUUCGUGAAUAGUGUCGUAUACGUGAAUAGUGUCGUAUACGUGAAUAGUAACCCCAACACAAAAAGUUCCAAAUUUGAUUAAAAGUUCAGAUCAAUACUUCGGCAUAAUGAUAUUGAAAGAAAUAAUAUCAUUUUAAAAAAAAUAAUAUCCCUUACCUCAUAAAGACAGUACUUCUAGUUGAAACACUGGAUAUAGGCUAUGACUUGAACUCGCACCGUAUAAUAACACUCAAAGUAUUAAAAUACUCACAAGAAUAUGCUCAAUAUAUCGAGAGAGAAAGAGAGAGAAAACUUCCGUUUCUGGUGUGAUUUUCAAUUCUAACAUAAGCACCCUAUUUAUAGGAAAAUGCUUAGAACACCAAAGCAGAAAAUUUUAUAAAUUAAUAAUAUAUUUAUAAAAAUUUCUUACGCACACCUAGAAUCUGAUUUCAGCAACCUAACACAUGUUAAAUGAGUCCCAAAAAUGUAAAAAAUGUUUUUCUUAUUAAAAAUAAUUAAAACUUCAAAAAUUAAUUAUUUCGGAGCUUCGAAACUUCAAUAAUUCAUAAUAAAUAGCCCUUUUAUCAGAAAAAUUCGAGCCUCAUGUUGUUUUCAUAGGAAAUUCCAUUAUCUACAACUUUACAGAAGAAAGUUUUUUCAAAUUCCAAACAGAAAUUGACCGAAAUUCACAAACGGGUGAUUUUAUAGGCUAUUAUUAAAUUUCAGUCAAGAAAUUAGCUCACAGACAUGUUUAACAUGUGUUAAACAACUUUUGCAACAAAAAUACUCUUCUUACUCAUAAAUUCAUAUAUCCCACAUUCAUUGUAAAAAUAUCACCAUUAUUAUAUUAUUAAAAUAUAAUAAUAUAUUUAAAUGAAUUAUUUUAUCAGAAAAAAGAUAAAAUAUUAAUUUUCAACAAUUGUCACAUUAAAAAUUUUCUCCAUCUAUAUCCACAUAAAAUCAAUAUUUUCCUCAUCAUAUAAAUCAAUAAUUAAUUAUUCACNNNNNNNNNNNNNNNNNNNNNNNNNNNNNNNNNNNNNNNNNNNNNNNNNNNNNNNNNNNNNNNNNNNNNNNNNNNNNNNNNNNNNNNNNNNNNNNNNNNNUCAAGGCAUAGAUGCGAUUUGGGUCAUUGUUGAUAGAUUGACCAAGUCUGCUCAUUUCUUACCGAUACGAGAAACUUAUACACUUGAACGUCUUGCUAGUAUGUAUAUAAACGAGAUUGUAAGAUUGCAUGGUAUGCCAGUAUCCAUAGUUUCUGAUCGAGACCCAAGAUUUACUCCAAGAUUUUGGGUUAGUUUGCAAAAAGCUAUGGGCACAGAUUUACGAUUUAGUUCGGCAUAUCAUCCUCAGACGGACGGACAAUCAGAGAGGACUAUUCAAACUCUUGAAGAUUUAUUAAGACUUUGUGUCCUUGACUUCAAGGGAAGUUGGGACAAGUUUUUACUAUCGGUGGAGUUUUCCUACAACAACAGUUAUCAAGAAAGUAUUGGCAUUGCUCCAUUCGAGGCAUUGUAUGGAAGAAAGUGUCAUUCUCUAGUAUGUUGGGAUGAGGUGGGUGAAGUAACGUUGUUGGGACCGGAUUUGGUACGUAUGACUACGGAAAAGAUUCAAAAAAUUCGACAAUGUAUAAAAACCUCACAAGAUCAACAAAAGAGUUAUGCUGAUCUUCAUCGAAAGGACGUUGUGACGCCCCCAGAAUAGGUAUACAUCACCUAUUCUGAGUCGCCAAAUACAAAUACAAUCUUUAAAAUACAACAAGAGAGCUGUGAGUUUUAAUACAAAUACUGUCUUCUAGACAAUAUCCACUUUUAGAAUAAGUUCUCAUUACAUUUAUUGUCACACUAUUUAACAGAAUAGUGAGGACUAAUAAUACACCAUCUAGGACCAUCACUCCGUUCCCCGACUCGUCCCAGCUACGUUCUCAUUUCCUGAAGAGAACAGUGAAAGAAAAGGUGAGCUCAACUAGCCCAGUAAGAAAUAAUAUGACUAAGAUAAUGCAGAAAAAAAUUAUCAUUAGUCUUCAACAAUGUUAAACUUAAUAUACAACAGACAUCAAUUUUAACUGCAGCAGAACAAGCAAUCCAUUAAAAGAGUCAAGUAGAGAAUAAAAUCUACUAUCUUUUAUGAUUUAAAAUAUUUUUCAUCACUUUUAUCGCUGAGACUCAGCUUAAUAAAUAAUCCACAUCAUCCCUGCACUACGGCCAAGGAUAUUCAUUAGGGUCACAACCACAAAUUAUCCAUGCACUGCGGGCCAAGGAUAUUCGUGUAUUCAUCAAUGGUCAUGAUCAUGCCAUAAAAUCCCUUGGCCGAAGAGAAUCCAUAGCCAUAAUCAUACCAAAAACUGUCUAUCAAUGCACUACGGGCCAAUGAGGACUUUUACCACAUCAUUUGUAACAUUACGGUCAUGAUUAUACCGAAUAAUCCCUGGCCAUAAUCAUACCAAAUCCAUCUAUACAGUACAGGCCACAAAUGACUUUCAACAUAAUAUAAACAUGAGGAUGAUGACAAUGAUAUAAGAAUUCAAUAAAACAAGUUCAAGAAUNNNNNNNNNNNNNNNNNNNNNNNNNNNNNNNNNNNNNNNNNNNNNNNNNNNNNNNNNNNNNNNNNNNNNNNNNNNNNNNNNNNNNNNNNNNNNNNNNNNNUAAAAUUCAAGAAUGAUCAGAAGAAUAUUUCCAUGAAAAGAUACUGGAUGAAGCGCAAAUAUCAAGGAUAUUCCACUAAUUUCAUGGAGUAUAGAAGUUAAAACUUUAACCAACUUAGUAUAAUAAAGAAUGGAAUAACAAAAGAAAUCACCAUGCAUGCGGUACUUUGCAUAGACAGGUUAUUCAAACAGAAUAAUAAGUAACGGAACCAGGUCAGACGAAAUUCAAACCGACAGGAUGUUUCAACAGAAUAGUAAAGACGGAACCAAGUCCGAUAUAAAACACAAAGACAGGAUAUUCCAACAGAAUAAUAAAGACGGAACUAGGUCCGGUGUAAAACACACAGACAUGAUAUUCCAACAGAAUAAUAAAGACGAAAUCAGGUCCGGUGUAAAACACACAGACAGGAUAUUCUAAUAGAAUAAUAAAGACAGAAUAAUAGAAGAAUGUCACCAAGUAUAGGGUAGCCCACGUAUACAGGUUAUUCCAACAAAAUAAUAAGAAAUGGAAUAACUGAAGUUCUCUUCAUGAAUACAAAAGAAUAAUAUCCCUUACCGUAAAAGCACCUGGAUAUAAGAGUAGUUAAGUAGCAGAAUACUUUUCUUCUUUCUCUCUACAGUUUAUAUCUCUAGAGUUUCAGUGAAUUCGUAAGAAAAUAAUGAAGGAAUGAGCUUCUAUUUAUAGAAAAAUGGACUGCAUAGUAACUAAUCCAUGAACGGUCCAAAUCGAUUUACUUUAAUCUGACGGUCCAUAUUUAAAGCAAAAUCUUUUAAAUAAAAUAUAAUAUAUUCUAUUUAUAAUCUAAUAAAACGAAUAACUUUAUAAAAAAAUUUACUAUGCAAACACUAUACAGGCACUAUACAAACACUAUGCAUAAUAAAAUAUAAUAUAUUCUAAUUAUUGUCUAAUAAAAUAGAUAACUUUAUAAAAGUAUUCUGUUUUAUAUAAAAAGUUUUUUUGUUUUAUUACGUUAAUAAUACGAAUAAAACAAAACUUCGUCAUCAUACAAAAUAUCGACAAUAAUUGAAUCAAACUGAGUGACUUCUCACAUAAGCAUUAAUAAUCAAUACCGUGUGCUACUAUGCAACCACGUGUAUUACUGUACUUUUACUACCGAGUAGUUCAACAGUAUCAACGUUAAAACUUCCGCCGUUAUUUUCAUAAAAAUAUUUUUGUCAUUUUCUCAAUCCGACAAUAAUUCUGUUGUGGGGUCCACCAAUGAUUUUGCUAUCGUACGAAUAUUCCCUGUUAAAACGAAUAUUCCCUGACCAAUCUAAUAUAAUAUGACAACUUGCAUACUUUACAAAAUUUGUAAAUAUUACCCACAACUAUUAUAUCAAAUUAAUUCCAUAAUAUUCAAAAAUGAUAUUUAUAGAAAAAUCAUCUUUAUUCAUAAAAACUGGGGUUUUACAACCUCCCCUUCUUAAGAAAUUUCACCCUCAAAAUUAGGGUAUGUACCUGAUAUGUCGAAGAGGUAAGGAUACUUUGAUUUCAUUUCAGAUUCUAACUCCCAGGUCAUUUCCUCAACAUCAUGGUUCCUCCAUAAAACUUUGACUUGAGGUAUAACCUUAGAGCGUAGAAUAUGUUCAUUCUUAUCCAAGAUUUGAACAGGAACCUCUUCAUACGUUAAAUAUUCCUCUAUUUUGUCCGGUUCUAACUCAAUAAUUUGGUUCGGGUCUUCCAUAUAUUUACAUAACAUGGAUAUGUGAAAAACGUUAUGAACAUGAGACAUACUGGGCGGUAAAGCGAGUCUAUAGGCUACAGUCCCUACUCGAUCGAGGAUUAAAAAUGGGCCAAUGAAUCGAGGAUUGAACUUUCCUCUCUUUCCAAAUCUCGUAACUCCUUUCCAUGGAGCAACACGUAACAACACAUGAUCUCCUAUAUCGAAUUCCACAUCCUUUCGAUGAAGAUCAGCAUAACUCUUUUAUCGAUCUUGUGAGGUUUUUAUACAUUGUCGGAUCGUUUGAAUCUUUUCCGUAGUCAUACGUACUAACUUCGGUCCCAACAACGUUGCUUCACCCACCUCAUCCCAGCAUACUGGAGAACGACACUUUCUUCCAUACAACACCUCAAAUGGAGUCAUGCCAAUGCUUACUUGAUAACUGUUGUUGUAGGAAAAAUCCACCAAGGGUAAGAACUUGUCCCAACUUCCCUUAAAGUCAAGGACACAGAGUCUUAAUAAAUCUUCCAGAGUUUGAAUAGUCCUAUUUGAUUGUCCGUCCGUCUGAGGAUGAUAUGCCGAACUAAAUCGUAAAUUCGUGCCCAUAGCUUUUUGCAAACUAACCCAAAAUCGUGAAGUGAAUCUAGGGUCUCGAUCAGAAACUAUGGAUACUGGCAUACCAUGCAGUCUUACAAUCUCGUUUAUGUACAUACGAGCAAGACGUUCAAGUGUAUAAGUUUCUCGUAUUGGUAAGAAAUGAUCCGACUUGGUUAAUCUAUCAACAAUGACCCAAAUUGCAUCUAUGCCAUGAGAAACCUUGGGAAGACCAGUAACAAAAUCCAUGGUAAUGUGCUCCCACUUCCAUUCUGGAAUUUGAAUUGGUUGCAAUGGACCUUUCGGAACUUGAUGCUCCGCCUUUACUCGUUGACACGUUCGACACCUUGAGAUAAACAACGCUAUCUCUCUCUCUUUAUACUACUCCACCAAAAUGUAUGACGAAGAUCACGGAACAUUUUGGUACUCCCAGGAUGGAUUGCAAAUGGUGUGUUGUGCGCCUCCAUCAUGAUAUUAUACUUUAAAUCAGGGUCGUUAGGAACACAAAGUCUGGAGUUGACUCGAAGUAUUCCUUCAUCAUCGAUUCUUGCUUCCGCCAUAGCACCUUCUUGCACUUUCUUCCUCAUACGCAUCAGCUCUGGAUCUGUAACUUGAGCAGCUUUAACUUUAUCAAUUAAAGUCGGUUCUACUCGUAUAUUCGCUAUCAUCACGUGGGUCCCUGGAAUCUUUAUCUCUAUCUCCAUCCUUUGCAAGUUAUACAAAAUGGGCCUUCAUAUUGACAAUAUCGCACUCGUACCCGCAUAUGAUCUUCUACUCAAUGCAUCAGCUACCACGUUCGCUUUUCCAGGAUGGUAUUGGAUGGUAUGAUCAUAAUCUUUCAAUAGUUCAAGCCAACGUCGUUUUCGCAUGUUGAGUUCCUUUUGAGUGAAGAAAUAUUUGAGGCUUUUAUGAUUCGUAAAGAUCUCCACUUUCUCCCCAUACAAAUAAUGCCUCCAAAUCUUUAGUGCAAAAACGACUGCUGCUAACUCUAGAUCAUGAGUAGGAUAAUUCCUCAUAUAUUUUUUGAGUUAUCGUGAGGCAUAAGCUAUGACUUUCCCAUGUUGCAUGAGAACACAUCCCAACCCUUUGCCCGAAGCAUCACUAUAGAUGACAAAUCCCUCCGAGCCAGAUGGUAUUGUCAGAACAGGUGCUGAAAUGAGUCUUCUCUUAAGUUCUAGAAAACUUUUCUCACAUUCUUCACUCCAACCGAAUUUUGUAUCUUUCCGAGUUAGCUGAGUUAAUGGAGUAGCGAUUCGAGAAAAUCCUUCCAUGAAUCUCAGAUAAUAACCAGCUAAACCGAGAAAGCUAUAUACUUCGGUCACUGAUUUAGGUUGCUCCCAGCUUUGAAUAGCUUCAAUCUUUGCUGGGUCAACAGAUAUUCCAUGACUUGAUACCACGUGCCCAAGGAAUGCUACUUCCUCAAGCAAGAACUCGCAUUUCUUCAACUUGGCAUAAAGCUUAUAUUCACGAAGCUUUUGGAGUAUUAGCCUCAAGUGUUGCUCAUGAUCUUCACGGCUUUUGGAAUAAAUAAGGAUGUCAUCAAUAAAGACGACCACAAAGUGAUCCAAAUAUUCCUUGAAUACUCGGUUCAUCAUAUCCAUGAAGGCAGCAGGAGCAUUAGUCAAUCCAAAAGACAUGACUAGGAAUUCAUAAUGCCCGUACCGAGUUCUAAAAGUCUUCUUUGGAAUGUCAUCGGUUCUAAUCUUUAACUGGUGAUUUCCGGAAUGAAGAUCAAUCUUUGAAAAGAAUUUGGCUCCUUGCAACUGGUCAAAUAGGUCAUCUAUACGUGGCAAUGGGUACCUAUUUUUGAUGGUGACAUGAUUCAACUCCCGAUAAUCAAUACAAAGUCGCAUACUCCCAUCUUUCUUCUUCACGAAUAGAACAGGAGCACCCCAAGGAGAAGUACUAGGACGAAUAAAGCCAAUGUCUAACAAUUCCUGCAGUUGGGUCUUUAACUCCUGAAGUUCAAUAGGAGCCAUUCGAUAUGGGGCUUUGGAAAUGGGUUUUGUACCGGGUUCAAGGUCGAUACAAAAUUCAAUUUCACGCUCUGGGGGUAGGCCAGGAAGUUCUUCAGGGAAUACGUCAGGAAAUUCAUUAACAAUAGAAAUAUCAUUCAAAACUGACGUAUUUUUGUUUAGAUCCGUGACAUGAGCUAAGAAAGCUUGACAUCCGUUUUUCAAUAAACGAAUAACUUUAUGGCUUGAGAUGACAGUGAUUGAUUUUAAUGGUUUGGUUGCUUGAAUUUGCCUAAUGGGUUGAUUAGGAAUAUGAAAGCUAACAACCUUACGAAAAUAAUCAAUUUUUGCAUGAUGAGUAGUUAACCAAUCAAUCCCUAGAAUUACAUCAAAUGCAAGUAUUUUCAAUGAAAUAAGAUCGACAGGUAAUGUGAGGGUACCGAUUUGAAUCAAACAAGACUUAUAAACCGUGGAUGUAAUGAAGGUUUCUCCCAAUGGAGUUUCAACAGAUAAGUCAAAGUCCAAUUUCUCCGAAGUCAAAUUUAAACGUUGAGCACAAGUAGGAGAAAUAAAAGAAUGGGUAGAACCGGUAUCAAAUAAGGUAUAUACUUCUCUAGAGUUUAUGAUAAGCUUACCCGUGAUGACCUCGUUCGGGUUCCUUGCUUUCUGGGAGGUUACAACAAACGCUCUCCCUUGCACUAUCGGUUUUGAAUUUUUUGGGACGGCCUUUGAUGCCUCCAUCCAAGCUGGACUUGUCUUCGGUGCACGAAAAAAUCGGGCCAAGUGACCUUCUCUUCCACAGUUGUAACAUGCUUUGGAUGGCAUCACACAGUUGAAGCAUCACAUAGUUGGGACUGAUGUGUCCCUCUCCUCCAUACUUGAAGCAUAUGAUAGGUGGUUGUUCUCCUUCCUUAAUGAUAGGUGUUGAUGUUGACGUCUUUCCAUCAUUGUUUAAUCUCCUCUUCUUAAAAUGUCCAUUCUUAUUAUUUUGGCCAUGAUUACCACCAAAGUGGUUACCAUUUCUGGCCUGUUGAUUUCCUUCAUGCUUGUUUUCACCGCUUCGAUGACUGCUCUCACUAGUAUUAGCAUUUUGUCGGUUGCUAUCUUUUGGUUGGGAUGACUCAUUAUCACGCUCCAAUAACUGAGCCCUAUUAACAACAUCUAAAUACAAACAUAGUUUAUGAGAGAUAAGAUAUUGACGUAUCUCAGGUUUCAAACCUCUUAAAAACAUUCGCGUUAUUCUCUCCUCAUUAUCAACCAAAUAGGAUGCAAACUGGGACAACUCAGAAAACUUAGCUUCGUACUGCGAUACGGUCAUGUUGUUUUGUGCCAACUUGAUGAACUCUACCUCUUUCAUGUGACGAAUACUUUCGGGAAAGUACUUGUCGUUGAACAGUUCCUGGAACUUCUCCCAAGACAUCUUCAGUGCAGUAGGUUGAGUACGUUUUACAGAUUCCCACCAGUAAUCUGCCUCUGCACGCAACAUGAAGGUGGCAAAAGGAACCUUUUUCUCCUCGGAGCAUCCCAAGACAUCAAAUAUCUUAUUGAUCUGCUUAAUCCACGUGUCCGCCUUAAGUGGUUUUGGCUUUCCAAAAAACUCUGGUGGUCCCAGUUCCUUAAACUGCUUGGCGGUAACCAUCCGUGAGUUGCCAGUAUUUCCACUUGCAUUUUGUACAGGAGCCGCUUUUGUCUGAUGUUGCAUGAAUUGCAUAAAGCCUCUGAACAUUCCAUCGUUCAUCAUUUGAUCAGUGUUGUUGUUUGCCUGAGGAAUGUCGCCUUCUUGAUGCACAUUAUCCUGAUUAUUGAUCUGUGGAGACUCAACGGUCUCCUGUGCUCCAUUGAUGUUCUCAACAUUCUCGGAUGCCAUUUUCAAAUACUGCCACAAAACAAGGGUUAAAUAACAUAUAACAUAGUAUCCCUAUACUCUGACUGACCAAUUUAAAUAUCAAAUAAACUUAGGUAGGUCAUACUAGCGAAGGAAUUCCCCGUCUCUCCCUUCUUAGUUCUUGUCUCACAUUUUAGCCAGGGAUCAUAUCCCUAAGCUUUGAUACCUACUGUGACGCCCCCAAAAUAGGUAUACAUCACCUAUUCUGAGUCGCCAAAUACAAAUACAAUCUUUAAAAUACAACAAGAGAGCUGUGAGUUUUAAUACAAAUACUGUCUUCUAGACAAUAUCCACUCUCAGAAUAAGUCCUCAUUACAUUUAUUGUCACACUAUUUAACAGAAUAGUGAGGACUACUAAUACACCAUCUAGGACCAUCACUCCAUUCCCCGACUCAUCCCAGCUACGUUCUCAUUUCCUGAAGAGAACAAUGAAAGAAAGGGUGAGCUCAACUAGCCUAGUAAGAAAUAUUAUGACUAAGAUAAUGCAGAAAAAAAUUAUCAUUAGUCUUCAACAAUGUUAAACUGAUAAUAUACAAUAGACAUCAAGUUUAACUACAGCGGAACAAGAAAUUCAUUAAAAGAGUCAAAUAGAGAAUAAAAUAUACUAUCUUUUAUGAUUUAAAAUGUUUUUCAUCACUUUUAUCGCUGAGACUCAGCUUAAUAAAUAAUCCACAUCAUCCCUGCACUACGGCCAAGGAUAUUCAUUAGGGUCACGACCACAAAUUAUCCAUGCACUACGGGCCAAGGAUAUUCGUGUAUUCAUCAAUGGUCAUGAUCAUGCCAACAACUGUCCAUCAAUGCACUACGGGCCAAUGAGGACUUUUACCACAUCAUUUGUAACAUUACGGUCAUGAUUAUACCGAAUAAUCCCUGGUCAUAAUCAUACCAAGUCCAUCUAUGCACUACAGGCCACAGAUGACUUUCAACAAAAUAUAAACAUGAGGAUGAUGACAAUGAUAUAAGAAUUCAAUAAAACAAGUUCAAGAAUUAAUUUAUCCAGGAACUAAUAACGUCCAAAUUGUCAACAUGAUACUUCUUUGUAGAGUAAAAUUCAAGAAUGCUCAGAAGAAUAUUUCCAUGAAAAGAUACUGGAUGAAGCGCAAAUAUCAAGGAUAUUCCACUAAUUUCAUGGAGUAUAGAAGUCAAAACUUUAACCAACUGAGUAUAAUAAAGAAUGGAAUAACAAAAGAAAUCACCAUGCAUGCGGUACUUCGCAUAGACAGGUUAUUCCAACAGAAUAAUAAGUAACGGAACCAGGUCAGGCGAAAUUCGCACCGACAGGAUGUUCCAACUGAAUAGUAAAGACAGAACCAGGUCCAGUGUAAAACACACAGACAGGAUAUUCCAAUAGAAUAAUAAAGACGGAACCAGGUUCGGUGUAAAACACAUAGACAGGAUAUUCCAACGGAAUAAUAAAGACGGAACCAGGUCCGGUGUAAAACACACAGACAGGAUAUUCCAACAGAAUAAUAAAGACGGAAUCAGGUCCGGUGUAAAACACACAGACAUGAUAUUCCAACAUAAUAAUAAAGACAGAAUAAUAGAAGAAUGUCACCAAGUAUAGGGUAGCCCGCGUAUACAGGUUAUUCCAACAGAAUAAUAAGAAAUGGAAUAACUGAAGUUCUCUUCAUGAAUACAAAAUAAUAAUAUCCCUUACCGUAAAAGAAACUGGAUAUAAGAGUAGUUAAGUAGCAGAAUACUUUUUUUCUUUUUCUCUACAGUUUAUCUCUCUAGAGUUUCAGUGAAUUCGUAAGAAGAUAAUGAAGGAAUGAUCUUCUAUUUAUAGAAAAAUGGACUGUAUAGUAACUAAUCCAUGAACGGUCCAGAUCGAUUUACUUUAAUCUGACAGUCCAUAUUUAAAGCAAAAUCUUUUAAAUAAAAUAUAAUAUAUUCUAUUUAUAAUCUAAUAAAACGAAUAACUUUAUAAAAGAUUUUACUAUGCAAACACUAUGUAGGCACUAUGCAAACACUAUGCAUAAUAAAAUAUAAUAUAUUCUAAUUAUUGUCUAAUAAAANNNNNNNNNNNNNNNNNNNNNNNNNNNNNNNNNNNNNNNNNNNNNNNNNNNNNNNNNNNNNNNNNNNNNNNNNNNNNNNNNNNNNNNNNNNNNNNNNNNNNNNNNNNNNNNNNNNNNNNNNNNNNNNNNNNNNNNNNNNNNNNNNNNNNNNNNNNNNNNNNNNNNNNNNNNNNNNNNNNNNNNNNNNNNNNNNNNNNNNNNNNNNNNNNNNNNNNNNNNNNNNNNNNNNNNNNNNNNNNNNNNNNNNNNNNNNNNNNNNNNNNNNNNNNNNNNNNNNNNNNNNNNNNNNNNNNNNNNNNNNNNNNNNNNNNNNNNNNNNNNNNNNNNNNNNUCGUGAUACUAAAGAAUAUCCUUGGCCGUAGUGCAGGGGUGAUUCGAUGAUGUGGAUUAUUUAUUAAGUUGAGUCUCAGCGAUAAAAGUUAUGAAAAACCUUUUAAAUCAUAAAAGAUAGUAGAUUUUAUUCUCUACUUGACUCUUUUAAUGGAUUGCUUAUCCCGCCGCAGUUAAACUUGAUGUCUACUGUAUUUUAUCAGUUUAACAUUGUUGUAGACUAAUGAUAAUUUAUUCUGCAUUAUCUUAGUCAUAAUAUUUCUUACUGGGCUAGUUGAGCUCACCCUUUGUUUCACUGUUCUCUUCAGGAAAUGAGAAUAUAGCUGGGACGAGUCGGGGAACGGAAUGAUGGACCAGAUGAUGGUAUUAGUAGUCCUCACUAUUCUCUUAAAUAGUGUGACAAUAAAUGUAAUGAGGACUUAUUCUAAGAUUGGAUAUUGUCUUGAAGAUAGUAUUUGUAUUAAAAUUCGCAGCUCUCUUAUUGUAUAUUAGAGAUUGUAUUUGUAUUCUGUACCAUGUAUUUGGCGACUCAGAAUAUGUGAUGUAUACCUAUUUUGGGGGCGUCACAAACUGUACUAUAAAAAAAUUGCAGCAACUGUACUAUGAAAAAAUCGCAGAUGGAGGAUGGCGUUAACAAGUUGGGACUGUCUAGGUUAAUGGCGGAGGAUGGCAUUAAUGGUGGAGAAGGGCGUAGCAGAAGAGGGCAUUAAUGGUGGAGGAUGGCGGAAGAGAGGGCCACUACAAGAAAAAGCUUUAUCAGCGACCGCCUACCAGCGAUCGCAUACAGUCACAGAUAACCAUCAGCGAUCGCAUACAGUCACAGAUAACCAUCAGCGACCGCAUGCAGUCGCUGAUAUGCGUCGCACAAAAUCUGGUCGCUGAGAUGUACAUCAGCGACCACUAUUAGCGACCGAUGUAUUUGCGACCGAUAUGAGCGACCGAAAUGACAAAUCCGGUCGCUAAGCUGAGUCAGCAUGGUCCAGGGCCACAGCUAACGUGUUCCAUGUGGCAGCGACCGGUAUCAGCGACCGGAUGCGGUCGCUGAUACGGAAAAAUAAAAAAACAGAAUCUUGCUGUUUUGCAGAAAUCCCAAAAACUUGUACCUGUUUUAUGCCAACAAUAGCAAACACAACAAUAUAAACAUGCAUUGUCCACCAACACAUACACCAAACUAGUAUAUAAACCAUUAAAAACCAAUAUGAUUUUGAAUAAACAUAAUAACAUUUUAAAACUUGUUUAAGUAACAUACAAACAUCCUAAGAAUGAAUAUACAAGUACAAACUUAUACUAUAACUACAAAACUAAUCUAAAGCAGGUACGUAAAGCAUCACUGCCUCCUUGAUCACCCUAUAAUUAACAAAAUAAUAAAACAAGUUACAAACGUCGCCAAGUUAUAAACAAGUUAUAUACUAACUAUGUUAAUAUUGGUAUAUUACGAUAAUAUACAACAAAUUAAUUUUAUACCUCGUCGCCAUCCCCGUGUUGUGAUGCUGCUACUGCCGCUACUGCUUCAGCUAACUCCUCAGCACUCAGAGCCCCCAGAUGUCCGUCCAGUAUCUUCAGAAGAUCCCGAUCUUGACAUAUAGCUCUCACACAGUCAGCCAGAGUAUGAACAGCUGGAUGGCUCGAUGACUGUGUAGACUGGAUAGAAGAGCAGCCUGAGCCACUGAAGGAUGGGCGUCGUCGUUGUCCUUGACCUUUAAUGUAGUUCUUUUUCACAACAGAUGCCCUCUCCCACAACUCUUGAUCGAUAGACGGACGUGGAGUGCCUUCAGGAUAGCGCUCAUUCAAUAAACGCUUAUAAGUGUCCUGUCAUCAUGUUAACAAUUAAAUAGUUAAAAAUAAAUUAAUUCUGUAAGCAUUAAUUAAAGAUCAAGUUGUUAAAAUUUAUUACCGCUAUCUGGAUAGCCUUAGGCAGACCAUCACGGGUGGCCACGUACACAUCCAGCUAAUGGAUAGGCUGACCUUGAGACUGAGACUCCUAUAUAAAAAUAACACAAUAUUACUAAGUAAAAAUGGGAUAUAUUUUCUACAAUUCAUGAUUGAAAACAUAUUAAAACUUGUAAAUACGUACCUUGGCAGUGAUAUGCUGCAAUUGUGAAAUAUUGUCGCCCUUAUAAGUUCCUUUAGCCUUUUCGCCAUUGGAUACACCCGAGGCUCUGUUGGUGGCGGUAGUCUUUCGUCUUUUCACCCAGCUCUCAGCUCUCCAUUAGGCACACAUCUCGGCCCAUAUGGACUGGGUGCACCACCAGGGGCUAUGCUUGUGCAUAUAAUCCUCUCCCUGGCCUGGAUGGUCGAUCUCGGUAUUGUGAAUGGCUUUUUGUCGUUCUUUAUUCAAGUUGUUCUUGGUGCGGACCGCGCACUUCUUCCAGAAUAAUGUCUGAAUCACCGAAGCAUGCACGUCCUCCCAUCUAUACCUUUUCUGCAAAUAAAACAAUAAUAACAUUACUAAAUAAUUAUCCUUUGAAUAUUAUAUUAAUAUUAUCUAUCAUAAUUAAAAAAAAUAUACCUGAAAUUCUGCCCAAAUAGCAUCCUUGUGGGCGAUAGGUGUGCUCGCCCACGUAAUCACAACUGUAGGCCAAUUCUGUAAACACAGCUGUGAUAUGCACUUGACGAUUUUAUUAUCUAAAAAAUCACUAUAAUAUACAACAUCAAUUAGCAUAUAUUAAAGUAAUUUACAUCUAAGUUAUAAUACUUAUGAACAUUUUUCAAACUUAUACUUAUAUAAUACUUAAGAAAAAUUUGCCAGAGUCUCCCCUACAAUAUGGACUAGCCACAUGCACGACGGCAUGCAUAUAUGGACAUUUCUAGGCACCCAAGACACUAACCAAUAUAAUAUCAAUCAAAACAUUACCAAUAUACAAUAAAUGGAAUCUUAAAUGCUUAUAUAAAAUUGAUAUAUGCGGGAUGUACGUGCUAUUCGGAGGAGGGCGAAUCUGAAUAAGAAUCUGAUCAUCCGGAUUAGUAGGGGCCUUGGGCACAUGAUUAGGCCCCCUACCCAAGCCGCGCUUUUUCUGCGCUGCUUUAGAAGCCAUCUGUAUAUUACAAAUUUCAAGAUGUUUUGCAGAGUUAUAUUUGAUUACAUGUAUAUAUGACAAUAAACAUGACAGUGAUAUAAACAUGUAUAUAGUUUAAAUUGCAUUUAAAAAACAAAAAUUUCAUUUAAAUAGUUUAGUACAUAAACAUGACAGUGAUUUAAACAUGUAUAUAUAUAUGAAUAUAAAAUGACAGUCCAUUAAAAAAUCUCAUAUGAAGUGAACUGCACCCAACUCCAAACAAAUAUACAUUCACUUUUUAAACAAAACUAAUAUAAGAAUAACAAUAACAAUGGUAAUGUAUCAUAAAUUGAUGACGUGCUUUAAUUACAAUAAUAUCUGCUUUAAUUGAUUCCCUCAUUUGUUUCAAGUGUCAAUGUCUGAUUCAGAAUCAUCUUGUAUACGUGUUGCAGAUUCAUAACCAUCAUCUGCUUCAGAUUCAGUGUCAGAUUCAGUCAAUAACUCUUCCUCCUCAGUAUCAAUGUCAUCUGACACAAGUAUUGACUCAGGAUCUAAUUCAUGUGGUUCAUCUCCACCAUCUAACUGGAUUACUUCAUUGUCGUCCUCCACAUUUAUUAUAGUUUGACUAUGAAGCAUCUGCUCUUGGUAAAUCUCCCCAUUAACUGAUUCUACAUGACUACGCGUGGGAGUAUGAAUUAUAACUUGCCAAUCUGUAGGCGGUCUAUCCCUUUUCCUAACAGGACUAGGAGUGUAGUAUACUUGUACUGUUUGAGUUGGUAAAACAAACGGUUCGUUGGAGUACGCAGACCUAUGGAGGUCAAUAUCGACGAUUCCAUGUCUGUCAAUACGUAUCUCUUUUUCUGAAUCAAACCAACUGCACUUGAACAAGUGAAUAUGACCCCCGUACGUGCCCUUGUACGACAACUCUACGAUUUCCUCCAACUCCCCAUAAAAGGCACGACCAAGCUCAUUGUAACAAUCUCCUUAGACACACACUCCAGAGUUCGUUGUUCUUUUACCGCGCCCAUAUGCCUUUGUGUGAAAUUCACAACCAUUUAUUUUGUAAUCAUUGCGGCUGACUUGGUCCCUGUUUGGUUCCAUAGCUAGGACUUGUACAUUAGUUAAAAUCGUUGAUCCCUCAGUCAAAGCCUACAAAAACUCCAUCUUAUUAAAUGAAGUCAUAGUUAANNNNNNNNNNNNNNNNNNNNNNNNNNNNNNNNNNNNNNNNNNNNNNNNNNNNNNNNNNNNNNNNNNNNNNNNNNNNNNNNNNNNNNNNNNNNNNNNNNNNUUUGAAUAUGUAUAUAUAUAUAUAUAUAUAUAUAUAUAUAUAUAUACGUGCUUAAAAAUUGAACUUACUUUGUCCUUUAGCCAAAGUGCAAAGUUUUUAUCCCGAUUGAUUUGAAUAUCUUUAUCAGUUAUGCCGGGAUGUUUCACUUUUAACUCGUCAUCGUACAAUCUAUACCAUGUUAUAAACAUUAACAUAUUGGAAUAAUUUUCAACUUAUAAGAUAAAUUAUCAAUUUUACAUGUGUACCUCACAAAUUCGUCAAUCUCCUCACAAUUGAGAAAAAUGUAAGUAUGUGCAGCAUGUAAUUCUUGCUCAAAGAGGAAUAUGUGCUUCCCUUUUCCAUAAGCGCGAACCGAUAGACCAAAUACAGAGAGCCGACCAUUUAGUUCAACAUUUCCCCCAUCAUCACGUCUCGAUACUAGAUUGACCUUUGUCAAGACUUCGUCCGGAAAAUAGUCUGAGACAAAGGUAGAUAUCUCAUCGAAAUUGUAUGCCUCGCAUAUCGACCCCUCGACAUAAGCUCUAUUAUUCACCUUCCUCUUAAGGUUUCCCAUCACCCUCUUGAAAGGGUACAUCCAUUUAUAUUGAACUGGACCCCCAACACGAGCUUCAUAGGGAAGAUGGAUUUGCAAAAGCUCCAUGGAGUCAAAAAAACCAGGUAAGAAUAUUUUUUCUAGUUUACACAUGAUCUCUAUGAUUUUCUUCUCAAGUACAAACAUGUCCUUCUCAUUCAAUGAUUUUGAACACAAGUCUUUGAAGAAACGACUAAGAUCCGUCAAAGCAUCCCAUAUUGGUUUAUCAAGCAGAUCCUGAAAUGUUAUAGGCAUGAGCCUCUCCAUGAACACAUGACAGUCAUGACUCUUCAUCCCUUGCAAUUUCCCACCCGUACCACACCUUACAAUGUUUGACGUAUAUCCAUCUGGUAGUUUCAGAGACUUAACCCAUGUGCACACCUCUUCAACUUGCUUUUUGGACAAUGUGUACCUUGCAUGCGGUUUGACAAUCUUACCAUUAGGAGAUUUAUAAAGUUCUAAUCCAGGAUGCUUACAAAUAUCUUUCAUGUCUAAACGUGCCUUAUCGUUAUCUUUUGUCUUCCCCGUAACAUUCAUCACAGUGUUAAACACAUUGUCAAACACAUUCUUCUCAAUAUGCAUCACAUCUAAAUUAUGACGAAUCAAAUUUGUAGACCAAUAAGGCAGUUCCCAAAAGAUGCUUCUCCGAACCCAGUUAUGAGAUUCACCAAACCCAUCGAUUAUGUUUGUGGCAUCAACCUUACCAAAUGGGAUAACCGGCAAUCUCAUCACACGAUCUCGUAUCUCCGUUCCCGAUAAUCGCGGUGCAGGCAUAUCAUUAUCUACUUUCCCUUUCCUGAAGUGUUCUUUAUUUCUUCGAAACGGGUGAUCUACCGGUAAGAACCGACGAUGACAGUCAAACCAACAAGGCUUUCGACCUUUUGAUAGAUUAAACGACUUUGUAUGCUCCAUACAAUACGGACAAGCCAACUUCCCGUGUGUACUCCAUCCAGCUAACAUACCAUAAGCUGGGAAGUCACUUAUAGUCCACAUAACCGCUGCCCUAAGGUUGAAAUUUGUUUUCGUUGCAACAUCCCAAGUCUGUACUCCAUCCUCCCAUAAUACCUUCAACUCGUCUAUAAGAGGUCUCAAGUAAACAUCUAAGUUCUUUCCAGGAUUCUUAGGACCAAGAACCACGAGUGAAAGAAACAAGUAUGGCUGUUUCAUACACAUCCAAGGAAGCAAGUUGUACGGAGUAACAAUCAUAGGCCAACAUGAGUACGGAAUAGCUGAGUGGCCAAACAGAUUGAAACCAUCGAUGGACAAUCCAAGCCUCACAUUUCUAGGUUCCAAAGCAAAUCCAGGAUGUGCUAAGUUGAAAUCUUUCCAAGCCUUCCCAUCUGCGGGAUGAUUUAGUUCUCCAUCUUUAGCUGGAGAUUUCGCAUGCCAACUCAUAUGUUCAGCUGUUCUUGAAGACAUGUACAAUCUUUUUAGUCGAUGUGUUAUUGGAAAAUACCUUAGAAUCUUAAACGGUAUACUUGAUAUUUUUGUAGUCACACCCUCUUUAUUAGGCCUAAACCGAUCAUGACUGCAAAACGUGCACCUUGUCAACUGUUCAUUUUCCUUAUAAAACAACAUGCAAUCGUUGGGACAUGCAUCGAUCUUUUGGUAUCCAAGACCCAACUUCUUCACCAUUUUCUUACAAAAGUAAUAGUUACCAGGUAAUUUCUCACCGUCAGGCAACAUACUCUUAAUGGCAUUCAAGAGCGACUCAAAACACUCAUGGCUCAUGUUGUGAUCAGCCUUGAUGUUAAGUAAUGUCGCCACUGCAGACAAUGUAGUGUGUUUGGUGCAACCAUGCCACAAUGGCUCGCUACCCUCGUCUAACAACUUAAAGAAGUCUUUGGCAUCAGAAUUCAUAGGUUGCUCUCUGCCUUGCUCCCAAUCAAAAUCUGGCCUUGCAAUAUCAUGAACCAUUUCCUUCACAAGAUGAGUACUACUGCCUGAAUUGUGUACUUGUGUGAUGCCACCAUCUCUUUUUUGCCCAUGUGCCCACCAGCAUUCUUCGUAAUUUCUCAUGAACCCAGAAACAAGUAAAUGAUAGUUUACCAUGUCUCUGUCCAUAUAAUUUACAUUCUUACACUUCAAACAUGGACAUUGUAUCUGCGACUUACCAUUCAUACAUUCCGGGUGACUAUACGCAUACUCCAAAAACACCUGGCAACCAGCUCUAAAUUCAACUAUAGUACCUAUCUGGGCACUUGACUUUCGUCGUGCCAUCCAACUACGAUCUGAAUAGAGGUCCAUAAAUCCACAGUACCUACUACAGACAACAUUAUAAAUAUUAACAUAUGACUUGAGCAUACUUGUAACCAUAUGACUUGAGCAUACUUGUAAGCAUGCAUAUGAUUAACAUUUAAGCAUACUUGUAAGCAUAUGACUUGAGAGCAUACUAGUAACCAUAUGAUUUGAUCAUACUUGUAAGAAUAUGAGUAUCAUUUAAGCAUACUUGUAAGAAUAUGACUUGAGCAUACUUGUAACCAUAUGACUUGAGCGUACUAGCUAUGCAUAUGAUUAAUAUUUAAGCAUAUUUGUAAGCAUAUGACUUGAGCAUACUUGUAACCAUAUGACUUGAGCAUAAUUGUAAGCAUAUGAUUAUGUCAUUAAUAUUAUAAAUGUUCGCAACUACCCGACCAAAAAAUAAUAAUAUGGACUAGCCACAUGCACGAAGGCAUGCAUAUAUGGUCAUUUCUAGGCACCCAAGACACAAACCAAGAUAAAUAUACUUGAACAUACUUGUAAGCAUUUGUAAGUUCAUGCUAGCUUUGUAUUCAUAACUUGGUUGAGCAAUUUAUAGCUUCUAUAACAUAUUGUAAUUUUAUUCUUUUAUACAUAAGUGUUAAAUACCCUUGUUUUUCUGUUAUAGCCAAAACAGUCUCUUUAUUAGCCAAGUGUGUCUAGAUACCUUCUCUGUUGCACUAACAGUUCCCUAGCACUAUCUAUUUUGGCUUAACAUCCCCCAAUAGCUGACCAUGCCGACAGCCAAGCUUAGCUUGGCCCCGUGAGGCUUGGCUAAGCUUGGCGUGGCCUUGUGUGGCCUCGUAUGGCCUCGCGGCCCCAAGCCCAGCCCAUCAGCUCCAACAGUCCCUUAAUAGGCUCUAGUGGAUCACUUAGUUUAAAAUCCCUACAUCAUUUAACAUCAUUUAGCAACUGUUUAUUGUUGAUUGAUGGUCUGCUUUCACAUAAUUGUAUGACAAUGAUAGCAUACACAUACACAGUCUGGGUAACCCAAGCUCAUUACGUUAAUUCACUAGAGCUACAAUUAUAAACAUUAAAAACUCACCAUUUAAUCAUUCAUAAUUGUAAUCCCAUUUAUAUAAGGCAUUCAAGUCAUUUGGGUAAGCCUAGCCUUUUUGUAUUAAUUAUAAAAAAUAUCAAUUUCCUACUUAAAAAUAGGCUUGUUAUGUAAACUUCUUGACCCGACUUACAAAACUUACUCAACUGCACUCUCACUUUCACUCCGCUUUGAAUUAUAAGAAUAAUAAUAAUAAGUUUGUUUUUAAAAAUUAUCAUAAUAAAUAUUAUAUCUAUUCACUAGUAAUUUUAAAGUAUGUUAUGAUAUUUAUAAUUAUAUUGAUAUAUACAUCUGACUUAAUUUGAAUUUAUAUAUAAUACAUAAUUAUAGUGUACAUUAUAACAAUAAAAAUAAUUCAAUUAAAUACAAAUACUACUUGAAUCUAACUCGUUUUGAAAGUAUUAGCUAGUAGUUUGUGACCAUUUUUUACGUACUUAGAAACAUACUUUUCCGUUUUUAAAAGAUGUCUUAAAUACAUCUAUUAAGACAUCAAAUUUAUUAACAAUAUCUACUUGAGUAGACUCAUGUACACUAGGAGUACUAAAAAGGGAUCACUAUUUCCAAUAUCAGUUCCCUACUAAUAAAUAAAUAAAUUAAGAAAAUGAAAACUUGUGUAUAUUUUAGUAGUAGUAUUAAUAAUCAAGAGCAAUUAUUUAUUUUUAAACUUCUGAUUUUCUGAUCUAUAGCUGUGUGUGUGACAGAAGUGUGAGUGGGUUUUCGUGUUUAUAACGUUUUCGUGUUCCAAAAUCCUCCGCAAGAACUUUCCAGACUGGACAUAUGUAUAUAUUAGCCCUAUACGCAUGUGAGUAAACCAAGCCCUAUGUAGAUUUCUAUUUUCUUCUAUAAAUAUGAGAUGAAGCCCCUGAAUAAAUUAAUAAGGGAACUCUAUGAGAGAGAGGAAGAUAAUCAAGACCAAUAAUAUACUUAGCAAAGCCUAUGGGGCAUAUUACACACCACAUUCAAGUACUAAAAUUAGGGCUUUAAAUUAUAAGCAAUUCAAUAGUAUAUAAUCACAAGCUAUUACACAUUAAAAUUCAAGACUAAGAAUUAGGUCUUUACAUCAAAGCAAUUACACACCAUUUUCAAGAAUAAAAAAUGUAAAAUUUAGAAACCCAAUCAAAUCGAACAACUACUUGAAGAAUUUAACAAUAUUUAAUCUAAUCUAACCAAUAUAAAUGCAUACCAGUGUUUGGUGGGGGCGGCGGCUGGCCGGUGGUGCGGUCAGGUUCUUCUCCUUCUCCUUUUUCUCUUCUCCCCCCUUUCUCCCUCUUCUCUCUAUGCUGAGCUUCCUCUCUUCUUUUUUUUCUUCCGUCUUCUGUGUCGAGCGAAAGCCUGAUACUGAUUUCAUUUAGUUUGAUCAGCGACCGAUGUUUAAUGACAUGGACUUAUCAGCGACCGCAUGUUUAAUGACAUGGACUUAUCAGCGACCGCAUGUGGUCGCUGAUGUUACGUGGUCGCAUAAAACCUUGGCGCCAACAUUUCGUGCCAAAUUUUACGAGGCAAAUUUGUAAUAGCGACCUCCCAGCGACCGCAUGCGGUCGCGGAUAGUAAUUAGCGACUACUUGAUAGUGUCGUCGCAGAUGUUGGUCGCUAAUAAUGGUAUCAGCGACCGGAUAUGUGGUCGCUGAUAGUGUUGGUCGCUGUUAGGCCUUUUUCUUGUAGUGGGCGUUAAUGGUGGAGGAUGGCGGAGGAUGCGGACUUUCUAGGUUAAUGGUGGAGGAGGGCGGAGGAGAAGGGCGUUAAUGGUGGAGGAGUGCAGAGGAUGGCGUUAACAAGUUGGGACUGUUAAUGGUGGAGGAGGAGAAGACUGACAAGGGCGAAGGAAGCGUGAUUUUUAUUAAGGAAAGAGAAAUUGUGCUAUAUAAUUUACUUAUUAAUUACUUAAUUUGAUAAGUAAAUCAAUAUUAAUCCCCUAAAUUAAGGAAUCUUAAUUGCAUACUAAUUUCCUAAAUUAAGGAAUCCUAAUUGCACUAAUAUUAUAAAUAAAUAUAAAAGUGUAUUAAUUGUGUAAAUAUUUUAUGAGUGAACUAUUGUUGUAAUUAUUUUAAAAAAUGUAAUAGAAUAUGUAAUUGUACCUUUUUCACAAGUAUAUUUGAUCUUUCCAUCAGACAUCACUCACUUGAGUGUGAGUCCCAUAUACUAUUCAUGUGAGGGGAGCCUCGUAUAAAUAUCAAAUUUUCUUGUGAAAAUACAAAAUAAUAAGUUUUACAAUUAGUAGUACUUUUUAAAUAAUUUAUAAUAUUUAUUAUUGUAUUGAUUAAAAGUAAAUAAAUCUAUGUCAUUUUUGGAUUUAAAAUUACUUCAAAUUAACUUUUAAAAAUCUUAAUUAUCUCAUAUUUUGGAAUAGAGGAAGUUCAUAAAGUCUUUACAAAAACAUUUUUAAAGCCCAUUUUUUUAAAAUGUUACUAGAUUAUACUAAAAAAAAAUUACAAAAAAUUUAGAAUGGACACUUGGCUUCCCUUCCCCCAACGUGCAUCCGCCCUUGGUUUAUCUAUUAUAAUUAAAUUCUUAAUCAAAAAAUUAAACUCUCCACGUAGAUAUUGCCUCAAAUUAACCAAACACUUUCACCCUACCAUCUCUUCAAAACUUUUAGUCUAAAUAUCACUUCUGUCUCUUUAAGUUAUCAUUUAUUUUUAAAGUUGUCUUUAAAUUUUAUUUUUUAUCACUUAAAUCUUUAAAUUGGUAUUUUUAAUGUUUCCGUUCCUUUUACUCAAUUUGACCUCAACGCAACCAAUUUUGACUUAAUUUUAACCCAACUCCACGAAGUUUGAAGCAACCUCAAUUUUUAAUAUAAAAUAAAUAUUAUUAAUAUUUUCAAAUAAAAUAUUUUUUUUAAAAAUAAUAAUGGUAUUUAAUAUUUUAAAAUAAAUAAGUAUUUUUAAAAUAGUAUUAAAAUAAUUAUUAUUUUAAAAAUAGUUAUUUUUAAUAUAUUAAAAGAAAAUAUAAUUUUUAAAAUAAUAAAUAAAUUUAAUAUUUGAAAAUAAAAUACUUUUCAAAAAUAAUUAUUAUUUUUAAUAUUUUAAAAAAUUAUUGCUUUUUUUUAUAAAAAUCCAAAUAAUAAUUUAAUUUAAUAUUUUCAAAUAAAAUUUCUUAAAAUAAUUAGAAAAUUGUAAUUAUUUUUAAUAUUUUAAAAUAAUUAUUAUUUUAUAUUUCAAAUAAAAUAUUAUUUAUAAUUUUUUUUAAAAUAACUAUUAUUUUAAGGAAAAGAUAUUGGAAACUUUUAUUUUUUUCAAAAAUGAGUAAAGUUUCAUAAAAUAUAGAUUCAAAAAAAAUAAAGUUCAAUUUUUUUAAAGCUUUAUUAUUUUUAUGGAAAUUUACACCUUUAAAAAAUUAUUUUUUUUAUCAGAAUAAAUUUUUAUUUUCUAAUAUAUAUUUUAUAAAACUUUACUCAUUUUUUUAAAAAAUGAAAAACUUUUCAAAUUUUUUUCCUAAAAAUAAUAAUGAUUUUUAAAACUUUUAAUUUAUUUUUUAAAAAAUUGAAUCAGUUUUUUUAUUUAUCUAAUAUUGUUUUUAUUUUAAUUUUUAUUUUUAAAAAUUCUAAUAUUAACAAUACAUAUAAUAAUGGUAAAGAUAUUAGCUUCUUUUUUUUCUAAAUAUAAUGUUUUACAUAAAAAAAUGAAAAAAAUCUACUCUUUUUUUUUAUAAAAAAAAUAAAAUAUUAUUUUCUUAUUUACUUUUUUUGAAUCUAUAUUUUAUGAAAUUUUACUCAUUUUUGAAAAUAAAAAUAAAAUUUCUAAUAUUUUUCCUUAAAAUAAUAUUUAUUUUAUAACUUUUUUAAAAUUAUAUUUUAUUUUAAAUAUAAAAAAUAACUAUGUUUUUAAAAAUAAUAUUUCAUUUUAAAAUAGUAAAAAUAAUUGUUAUUUUCAAAUUAUUUUUUUAAAUAAUAUUUAAUUUUAAAAUAGUUAAUAUAAUUAUUUUUUAAAAAAGUAUUUAAAAAAAUAUAUUUUUUAAAAUAUUAAAUAUACUUAUUUUAAUAUAUUUUUUUAAAGAAUUAUAUUUUAUUUUGAAUUAUUAAAAAUAACUAUUUUUAAAAUAAUUAUUUUAUUUUAAAAUGUUAAAAAUAAUUAUUAUUUUAAAAAUAAUAAUUUAUUUUAAAAUAUUAAAUAUUGUUAUUAUUUUAAAAUUUAUAUUUUAUUUGAAAAUAUUUAAAAUGUUUAUUUUAUUUUAAAAUAUUAAAAAUUGGGUUUAGGUUAAACUGAGUCGGGUUGUGUCAAAAUGGGUCGGUUUGGGGUGAAAUUAGAUAAAAAGAAUGAAAACGCCUAAUAAUAUUCUUUUAAAAAUCUAACUGACCUAAAAUGAACUUUAAGGACAACUUUAAAAAUGGAUGGAAAUUUAAAAGAACAAAAGUGUCAUUCAGCUAAACUUUUAUUAGCAUUACUAUGUAUUUUUAUAAAAUUUUAGCAUUUCUGAUACAUACAAACAUAAUGGUGGUCGGUGGAAAUGAAUAAGGAAGAAUAAUAUAUUUCUCCCUACAAAUAAAUUCCUAUUAAAAUAUAUUAACAGGACCGAAUGAAAUGAGUCGCAUGUUUAUAAGAGAGUUGUAAGGGUAUCAUACUUGUAUAUUAUACAAAUGCAAGUAUUUCUAUAAAUUGCAUAUUUAAACUGCUCAGAAUUGAAUCAGAAUCCGUCAAACUGUGGUUGCCAUAUGCCACUGCCAAACAAAGAACAACCAAAAGAAGAAAACUCUCGGACAUUUGCCCACGUUUUAAAUGAUCGCAGCUUCAUCUCUUAUCUAGAUUCGUAUAUGUUAACACCAAGAUUUUUUCACGCGCCUCAAUCACGUAACAUGCGUUUAUAUUCUACACAAUAAACAAGAUAAACAUCAAAAGUUUGACGGCUUCGACCGUCGGGAGAUAGCUCAGGCGUGAGAGUCAGUAUCGGUGUUCACAAGGUUAACAACGAAAUAUAAUAAUAUUUAGUGUAUUGAGAGAUAAAAUUAUCAGUCGAAUGUAUGUGUACGUACCUCUUUGUGAAGACCUCCUUGCUGGGUUAUACUCUCUUUGCCCGAUUUACCGUGCCAUCCACUACCGUCUGACACAGUCCCCUGAUUUGAUGGUUCCUGCCGGGUAUAUACAGUUCACCCACUACCUCUGACCUCUGUUUUCUACCGCCGGCCGUCGCCGGAUCCCAUCCACAUUAAUGCAUGGCAGUAACGACAGUCAGCCAUCAUGCUUUUCCAUCAUUACCGGUCAAAGUGGGAGAUAUUAAAAUAUCUAACGGAUAGACUCACUGAUCCGACCCGAUCUUGUAAGGACUUAGAAAGGAAUAAGACGGUGACUGGGCCCAAUGACAUUAACACCCAAUAAUGAAGACCCAAUGGACUAACUAAACAAGUAAGCCCAAUUCAUUCGGCCCAUUAGAGAAAAUAUCAUGAUCCAACAUUGCCCCCUAGUUUUUUAUUAAACAGAAUAUUUAAUAGAAAACUAUAAGUGGUCCAUGAUAUUAUAGGAUUUAAUGAAGGAUAAUCGAAAGGUACCUGGUGCGAUCUAUAAGAUGAAAUAGAGAGACCGGAGGCCCAAUAUGAAAGGCCCCAAUUGAUAAAUAUCUGAAUCUUGAACCAGAUGCUGCCCAUUUGAAUGCUUAAUUAUUACUGUUAAUUAAUAUGCCGCCCUCGUACACCGUGUAACCGUCAGUAUAAAAAGAAAUUUCCCCCAAUUUUGACAGUUUUACCUGUCAAUUUGAAUUUCGGACCUUUAAGAUUUCUUACUCUCUCCCAAACUCCUCUUCCUUUCUCUGCAAAAUCUCGACAAUGGCCUCCCAAGAUUCUGAACAAAGUCCACCUCUUUUAGUGACACCGAUCAACGUUGUCCCACCGAAUCCGAGCCCUAGCAAAGAAGCGUCAAGCUCGAACCCUAAGGCUGCAACUUCAAGUAAGAAACUACCCCCAAAAACUCCCCCGACUCCUUCUGAGUUCUUUAGAAACACGGAGGGUUUCUCACAUGCCAAUACCCCCUCUGAUAUAACAAAGAUGGGGUUAAGGAACAUUUGAACUAGAUACUCCAUUCCUGAUACCCAUCAGUUAAGGGUUCCAAGGGCCGAAGAGAAGAUGUAUCAGCAACCAGAAAGUUGGACGGCUGUUCCCGCAACUAUCCUCGAGAAAGGAAUCCGAUUUCCUCUCCAUGUGUUCAUAGUAACCCUUCUAGGGUUUAUAGGCGUCGGGUUCACCCAAUAAUUAGUACCAAACUCCUACAUCCAUAUUCUGGCCUUCAUCGCGUUCUGUCAUGAAAUCGGGGUGGAGCCUACUCUAGAUUUCUUCUUUACUGUUUAUAAGGUCAGCCAAUCCCGAGAAAAGGGAUUUAAAGUUUUGGGGAAACAUGCGCCGAAGGCCGGUGAAAAAUUUGAGAGGUGAUCUCUAGUGAGUACUCCUUCAAGUAACAGAGGAUGGCAUAAAGGGUGGUUCUUCAUCAAGGGAUCAAAAAUUACCUCUCUGCCGAACUGGACCAUGAGUGGCGUAGUUUCUGCCGACUUCGGUGAUAUCUCAGAAGAACGCGCGAGUGAAAUGAUAGAACUGUUUGAGAACUUUCCGUCAAAUGAAUGGAACUAUUUUGUUCUUACCAAGCAAGCCUGGAUGUAUGAACACAAAUGUAAGCUUUGAUUUAUUUGACUGUACAAUUUUUUUGAAAUUUUUCAGUGAUAUAAAUUCUUACACAUGACUUUUCUGCCUUUUAUAGUAUCUUUGAUUAAGCCAUCUUCGAUAGAUGUGAGACAUUUUGAAGAAUUCCUGUCUGGAAAGUCUUCGGGUACUGCUAAAACUCCCCUGACAGAAACAGCUCUUGAAGACUACCCAACUCCUAAAACCCGGACUACCAAACCUCAAACUGAAGAACCAGAAGUUGACGAAAUUCCUCCUUCCGAAGAGACUCUUCAACCUCGUCGGAAGAAGAGGGUUGUUCGAAAAUCAAGGUCCAUUCCUAUUCCAACGAACCCUGAUCCUACUUCAGAACCUGAGCCAGCCACCAAGCCAGCCCCUCCUCGAGGAAGUUUACUCGAUCGACCUGAUCGAAGAAAUCUUCUUCGAGUCAAGAAGUUAAGGGCCAAAGCUACCCCCCUGACAGUCGAAGAGCUUAGGGUGCCUCCCUUCUCAACCAUUCUGCCUUUUGUACCCCCUGUAGAAAUGCAAGUUUCUGAGGAAGGUGAUCAGGUCGAAACUGCUCCCACACUAUCCUGGAAGAGGAAACAGCCCUCUGACAGCCACCCUAGUACAACAUCCGCCCCAUCACCACCUCGAGAAUCUAUCCCAAUCCGAUCCCCAUCCCCCGAGACCAUAUAUAUGGAUCUGUCUCCGUCUCCGUCUCCUGAACGACCUAUUCCAUCUCCCGAAUGACCAAGGCAAUCACCUGAACGACCAGGGACUUCAGAUAAGGGAUUUCAGAAUGAGGCUAUGGUGUCACCAACCCUAUGGCCCCGUUUCAAUGUUAAUUUCCCCUUUCAUCUCUUCGACACCUUCGUUCGAGACACUGACAAUCAACGAUUCGGUAAUCAUACGAACGGGGAUCUGCUUGACAAAGGGAUGAGCUAUUUGGCGAAGGUAAGUGACAGUUUUUUAUUUUUAUUUAUCUUCUACACUUCUGCUUCUGCUUAAAUAUUUAUAAUUGAUUGAACACUGUUCGAUAUAUGUAGGCAAAUGCAGUCUUCGGGCGUUUACGUCCUAGGCAUGUAAAUGCCGAAGCCGAAGAGGAAGCCUUGAGAAGGGAGAACAAUAUGCUGAAGGCGUCACUGGCUCGAGAGAGAAGUGAGCAUGAAGGCAUCCUUCUUGUAAGACCCCAACUUAUUAUAAAUAAAAUUGAAUUUCCUCCAUUUAUUAUUUUGAAAUAGUAAGGGUUGAUUUGAUUAAUAUGGAUAGUUAUGGGUAAAAUACGUAAAUAUUUCAAAUAAGCAAGUAGUUACAAAAUAUUCAUUUGGUCGUGGAAUAUUCUUACUGUCGGGGAAUAUUCGUACGACGGCGCAUGUGAGACCCCAAAUUUUAUAAAUAAAGAUUUAAAUUUCUCAAAAUAUUUUUUUGAAUAUUAAGGUGUGGAUUUGAGAUAAUGUUAUAGUUGGGUAGUAUUUGAAAAUUUUGCAAAGUAUGCAAGUUGUUAUAUAAUAUUCGAUUGGUCGGGGAAUAUUCUUUUUGUCGGGGAAUAUUCGUACGACGACACAAUUAUUGGUGGACCCACAACAGAAGAACUGUCGUAGUUAGAAAAUGACAAAAAUAUUUUAUGAAAAUAACGACGGAGGUUUUACCGUUAAUACUGUUGAACUACUCGGUAGUAAAAGUACAGUAAUACGCGUGGUUGCAUAGUAACACACGGUAUUGAUUAUUGAUGCUUACAUAAGAAGUCACUCAGUUAUACUCAAUUAUUGCUAUAGUAAUUGCUACAUCAUAUCUCUCAUAUUAUUGAUUUGAUUAUUGUCACAGUAUCAUGUGCAUAUAUGUUAUUUUAUUAAAUCAAUAAUUGAGACGAUAAAGUUAUUCAUAUUAUUAAAUUACAAUAUUUAUAAUGUCUAGAAGUUCUGUCAAGGAGAGGUUAGAUAAUCUAAUUGCGCGCCAAUAGGGAGAAAUCCUUAUUGGAAAGCCCCUUCUUUCCUACGAACAACCUGGUUGUUAAAUAUUGAGAGUUAUGAUAUUAAUGAUGGAUAUGUUUGUGUUGAUUAAAGAUGAAUUUGAUAGUUUCAUUGUGUUGGGAUUAUUUGUGUUAAAACAUUUAUUUCGAUAGUAAUUAUGUUUGGAGGUAGUAUUGUUCACUCGAGUAUUUGGGACACUUUUUGUGUCAGAAUUACUAUUCACGAGUCACUAUUCACGAGUUACUAUUCACUAUAAUUACUAUUCACUCUAGUAUUGUUCACUCGAGUAUUUGGGACACUUUUUGUGUCGGAGUUACUAUUCACGAGUUACUAUUCAUGAGUUACAAUUUACGAGUUACUAUUCAUGAGUAUUCACAAGUUACUAUUCACCCGAUUACUAUUCACUCUAUUAUUGUGCAUUCGGGUAUUUGGGUAUAAUAUUAUUCCAUUAGGAUAUGUGCUAAUUUUUCAGACCAUUGGUUGAAUGAAUCGAUAUGGACCGCUGGUGGAAAGUUAUAAUAGUGAAUCAAUAUGGGUCGCUGGUUUAAAGUUUUAAUAGUAAAUCAGUAUGGACCGUCGCUUUAUGUUUUAAUAGUAAAUCGAUCUGGAUCGUUCGUUUAAAAGUAAAUCGAUCUGGACCGUUCAUGAAUUAGUUACUAUUCAUUCCAUUUUUCUAUAAAUAGAAGCUCAUUCCUUCAUUAUUUCUUACGAAUUCACGGAAACUCUAGAGAGAGAAAUUAUAGAGAGAAAGAAAAAGAGUAUUCUGCUACUUCACUACUUUGAUAUCCAGUGUCUUUUACGGUAAGGGGUGUUAUUCUUUCUUCUUGAAGAGAACUUCUGUUAUUCCAUUCUUUAUUAUUCUUCUAGAAUAACCUGUAAAAGUGGCAUACCCUAUACAUAACCUAAUACAUGGCAUACCCUAUACUUGGUGAAAUCCUUAUGUUAUUCCAUUCUUUAUUAUUCUGUUGGAAUAACCUGUGAAAGUGGCAUACCCUAUACAUAACCUGUAUACGUGGUAUACCCUAUACUUGGUGAAAUCCUUAUGUUAUUCCAUUCUUUAUUAUUCUGCUGGAAUAACCUGUAAAAGUGGCAUACCCUAUACAUGACUUGUAUACGUGGCAUACCUUAUACUUGGUGAAAUUCUUAUGUUAUUCCAUUCUUAUUUAUUCUGUUGGAAUAACCUGUAUACGCGGCAUACCCUAUACUUGGUGAAAUCCUUAUGUUAUUCCAUUCUUUAUUAUUCUGUUGGAAUAACCUGUAUGCGCGAUUUACCCUAUACUUGGUGGAAUGACCUGUAUAUGCGGUUUACCCAAUACUUGGUGAUCUUCUUCUGUUAUUCCAUUCUUUAUUAUUAUGUUGGAAUAACUUAUUUAUGCGAAGUACCGCAUACUUGGUGAAUUCUUUUAUUAUUCCGUUCUUUAUUAUUCUGUCGGAAUAUCCUGUCGGUGUAAAUUUCACCUGACCUGCUUCCAUAAUUAUUAUUCUGUUCUUUAUUAUUCUGUCGGAAUAUCCUGUCGGUGUGAAUUUCACCUAACCUGGUUCCAUAUUUAUUAUUCCGCAUUUAUUAUUCUGUUGGGAAUAACCUGUCUGUGCAGUCUCUAUCGCAUGCAUGGUGAAUCCUUCUGUUAUUCCAUUCUUUAUUAUUCUAUUGGAAUAACCUGUCUAUGUGGAUUGCCACAUGCAUGGUGAAUGAUCCUUUGUAUUCAUUCCUUGUUAAAUUGUGGAAAUGAUCUGUAUACGUGGGUUAACGCAUGGCGGGUGAGAAUCCAUUUGCAGUUUCAUAUAUUCUUUAUUAUACUCAGUUGGUUAAAGUUUUGACUUCUAUACUCCAUAAAAUUAGUGGAAUAUCCUUGAUAUUUGCGCUUCAUUCAGUAUCUUUUCAUGGAAAUAUUCUUCUGAGCAUUCUUGACUUUUACUUUACAAAGAAGUAUCAUGUUGACAAUUUGGAUAUUAUUAGUUCCUGGAUAAAUUAAUUCUUGAACUUGUUUAAUUGAAUUCAUAUAACAUUGUCAUCAUCCCAAUGUUUAUAUUAUGUUGAAAGUCAUCUUUGGUUUACGUGCAUAGAUGGACUUAGUAUGAUUAUGACCAGGGAUCAUUGGGUAUAAUCAUGAACUAUGAUGUUAUAAGUGAUGUGGUAAAAGUCCUCAGUGACCUGUAAUGCAUUGAUGGACAGUUUUUGGUAUAAUUAUGACUAGGGAUUUUUCGGUAUAGCCAUGACCGUGGAUGAUUUAAUGAAUAUCCUUGGCUCGUAGUACAGGGGUGAUUAGAAGAUGUGGUUUAUUUAUUAAGUUGAGUCUCAACGUUAAAAGUUGAUGAAAACAUUUUAAAAUCAUAGAAGAUAGUAGGUUUUAUUCUCUACUUAACUCAUCUAAUGGAAUGCUUAUUCCGCUGCAGUUAAACUUGAUGUCUAUUGUAUUUUAUCAGUUUAACAUUGUUGAAGACUAAUGAUAAUUUAUUCUGCAUUAUCUUAGUCAUAAUAUUUCUUAUUGGGCUAGUUGAGCUCACCCUUUCUUUCACUGUUCUCUUCAGGAAAUGAGAAUAUAGCAGGGACUAGUCGGGGACGGAGUAGUCCUCACUAUUCUGUUAAAUAGUAUGACAAUAAAUGCAAUGAUGACUGAAUUUGAGUUUGUAUACUGUCUAUAAGGACUCCAUUGAGAAUGGAUAUUGUCUAGAAGACAAUAUUUGUAUUUAAACUCACAACAUAUGUUUUGUCGUAUUUUACACGACUGCUGUAUUAUUAGUUUGUAUUUGAAUUUUGUACCAUGUAUUUGGCGACUCAAGAUGGGUGAUGUAUACCUAAUUUUGGGGGCGUCACAAUUGGUAUCAAAGCUUAGGGAUAUGAUCCCUGGCUAAGAUAUGAGAUAAGAACUAGGAGGGGAGAGACGAGGAAUUCCUUCGCUAGUAUGACCUACCUAAGUUCAUUUGGUAUUUAAUUGGUCAGUCAGUGUAUAGGGAUAAUGUGUGACAUGUUAAUUAACCCUUGUUUUGUGACAGUGUUUGAGAAUGGCAUCUGAAAAUGCUGAGAUAAGCAAUGAAGCACAUGAGAGUGUUGAUUCAGCUCAAGCGAAAGGUAACGACCAACAACACGAUAUUAAUCAUACUGGUGGCAACGACUAUCGGAACAAUGAUAACCAUCGUAGGGGAAAUUAUCAUGCCAAGAAUGGUAACCACUUCGGUGGUAAUCAUGGCAAAGAUAAUAGAAGUGGAAAUUGCAAGAAGAGAAGGUCAUUUAGCCCAAAUUUGUCGUGUACCAAAGUUAAGUCCAGCUGGGACGGUGGCACCAAAGGCAAAUAUGGACAAAACAAAGUCGUUAGUUUUAAGAAGAGUGUUUUUCAUGACUUCUCAAAAAGCAAGUAAACAAACGAAGUUAGCACGGGUUAGUUAAUUAUAAAUUCUUGCGAAGUCUAUACCUUAUUAGAUAUCGGUUCUACCCAUUCUUUCAUCUCUCUUGCUUGCGUUCAACGUUUAAAUUUGACUCUAGAGAAGUUAGACCAUGACCUAUCAGUUGAAACUCCGUUAGGAGAAACCUUCAUUUCAUGUGCUAUCCAAGUCUUGGAUGAGAGUCACAGUUUUGAAUGAUAUUUUUAUUGUUAAUAAAUUUCCUGACGUAUUCUUGACGACUUCUUAAACUACCCCUAGAGCAUGAAAUCGAAUUUUGUAUUGACCCAAGUACAAAACCUAUUUCUAAAACCCUCAAAUAUUUCAUCAACUAAAAGGAUCUAGUUACGUUGAUUAUAAUGAGAAUCAUAAUAAAAGCGUUGGAAUAAUGAAAAUCAUGGGUAUAUGUGGUAUUAGUAAGUGUUAUGAUGAGUUAUGUUGGUUAUUAUGUGAAAACAUGAAAGUUUCUUAGAAAUCACAAAGGGUUGAAAAUCAGAUUUUGGUGAAAACGGAACAUGAAAUUCAAUUGACCAUAUCUCCUAUUAUAUUUUAAAUUUUUGAGUGUGGUCAAGUCCUAGAGUUAGAUCUAUGAGUUUUGUAGCUUAUCCAAGUGGAAUCACUAGAAAAGGUGUUGUAGAUUUUCGUGUGGACUGAUUUUAGCAAAGGAGUACAAAGCUGCAAAAACCGAAAACGCUACUGCCCAUAAACUUUAAGGGGCUGUUUCGAACACUUAAUUUGUGAGAAAAGUUCUGGCCUUUUGGGACAUGAAAUUAUAUGGUAUAAAGUACCUCCUGUCCAAAAAUGAGAUCAUUCCGACUUAAAAUGAGCAAGUUAUGACCAUUUCAAUAUUUAGGUUUUUCCGACGAAAAACGCUAUAACCAGAGUUCUAUAACUCCGAUGACCAUGAAAUUUAAACUGGAAGCUCACGUUAACAUGUGUAAGUUUUUGCCAAGAUUUGGGAAUUUUUGGAGUUAACCUUGAGGUAGCUAAUUUCUUAAGGAAUUAAUUAGAAAUUAAUUUUUGAAAAAUAGUAAAUAAAUUUUAAAAAUUCCGAGAAAAAUAUAUGGUCAUUAUGGGACUAUAUUCUGCUAAAUCCCAGAAAAUAAAUAUUUUUGAAACUGAUUUGGUAUUUUUCAUGAAAAUG